AUACACCUUAGGCAGUGCUAAGCACGCUUUCGGACCAGUCAAAUUAUUUAUUUGAAUUUUAACGUUUAUCUGUAAAUUUAAUUUUAUCUUUAUUAUAAAAUUAAUUAGAUAAUUAAUCACAAUCAGAUUUUCUGUGCGAUUUUUCCUAACAAAAACUAUAUAUAGAACUUACCUGAUUUAUGGAUUAUUUUAAUAUGCUACCAAUCUUUGCAAAAUUUUGAUUUUACUAUUCGGCCUUUCAAUUUUUUUGAUAUAAGUCAACCAACGGUACUUUGACUUGAAAUUUGAUUGUAUCAUUCAUUUUUACAGAUUUAAUUAGUAUAUUUUGUAUAAUUCUACCAGUUAUAUACAAACUUUUAAAAAGUUGAAUGCAUUGUUUAUUUUUCACAUUUUUAUUUAGUAUAGUUUAUGUAAUUUUGAUAGUUACGUAUAUAUAUUUAUUAAAAUAAGUAACUAGUUUAAAUUUUGAAGUCAAAAUUCCAUAAACUAACCCAAAUCAAACCGUACGAAAGAUUGAAUAUUAAAAUCAAAAUUUUAUAAGAUUAGUUAGUCGAAUAAAAAAAAAUGGUUAAAUACAUAUAGGUCCCUAAAAAUAUAGUACAUUGCAAAUAUAUUCCUACAAUAUUUAAUUUUUAUAUGUCGUUCCUACAAAAAUUCUAAUGUUUUCAAAUAUGUACCUCUAAUUUGUUGUUACCGUUAGAAAACUGCUGAAGCCUAAAGAAUUGUUUGUGUUUUUAAUUUUGCCAUCACAAAUAUAUCCCUCCAAAAGCUACAACAGUAUAAUAUAAGAGGGAUAAAAAUAUCAAGUUAUCUCAUAAACUAACCGUAGUUAAAUAUUAACCUAUGGUUAACUAAAAUUUUCUAACAGAUUCUACCGACAGGGACAUAUGUGAAAAUAUUAAGACUUUUACAAGUACAACAUAUACAAAUUGAACUUUGUUGGAACAUAUUUACAAUGCACUAUGUUUGUAGAGUAUCUAUAUAUAGUUAAUCCUAAAAAACAGUCUAUAGUUGAAAUAAGUUAUAUACAUACAUACAUACAUACAUAUAUAUAUAUAUAUAUAUAUAUAUAGAGUCGGGCUAGAAUACUAUUGAUUGCAAAAGAUCCUUUUUACUAUCAAAAUUUUAGUCAUUAGAUUAAUUCUUUUUAUCAUUUCUAACCAUUGGAUUAAAUAUUAUAAUUCAGUGGAAAACACUUAACCUUAGGAGACCACUCAACCCUAAAAAAACUAAUAUUAUCCUAACCUUACAAUUUAUCAUCCAAUGGUUAAAAAUUUGAUAACAAAAAAGACUUUUUGCUAUCAAUAGUAUUCCAGCCCAAUUCUUAUAUAUAUAUAUAUAUAUAUAUAUAUAUAUAGAACUAGGCUACUAUGCUAUUAAUAGCACAAAGUUAUUGGUGCUACCAAGUUUUUGGCUAUUGGAUUAAGAGAUGUGUGGUUAGGAUGACGUGGGCCCCCUAGGGUUGAGUGGGUGGUUGGUUGAAUAGUAUGAUCUAACGGGUGAAAAUGAUCAAAAGGGUAGAUCUAACGGUAGAAAACUUAGUAGCACCAAAUGCUUUGUGCUAUUAAUAGCAUAGUAGCCG
Molecule: long non-coding RNA, 1582 nt
Filed under: Ananas comosus (pineapple)
Lineage: Eukaryota; Viridiplantae; Streptophyta; Magnoliopsida; Poales; Bromeliaceae
Description: long non-coding RNA (ACOM_LNC018232)
Source: RNAcentral